Molecule: transfer RNA, 73 nt
Filed under: Trichonephila inaurata madagascariensis
Lineage: Eukaryota; Metazoa; Arthropoda; Arachnida; Araneae; Nephilidae
Rfam family: tRNA
About the family: Transfer RNA (tRNA) molecules are approximately 80 nucleotides in length. Their secondary structure includes four short double-helical elements and three loops (D, anti-codon, and T loops).
Source: Rfam by way of RNAcentral
GGUUCGAUGGUGUAUCGGUUAGCACGCUGGACCUUUGAAUCCAGUGAUCCGAGUUCAAAUCUCGGUGGAACCU